Non-coding RNA from Oncorhynchus mykiss (rainbow trout), 897 nucleotides. Lineage: Eukaryota; Metazoa; Chordata; Actinopteri; Salmoniformes; Salmonidae. The record is from RefSeq and is a predicted model, not a curated record.
AAGAGGACUGUUGACCUUUUUUUUUAUCAGGACCAGAAGGAGGCAGGGCUUUGGUUAGAGAUUUCCACCCAGGGCCCCAGAGUACUGUUGUGUUUCUUGACUUCUGUUUGCAGAGUUCACAAUCUGCCUGAUUGAUAGUUAGUCCCAUUGAUUGAAGUAUAACACAUAUAUUAUCAAUCUGUUUAAAUCUCUCUCUCUGCUCCAAGCCUCACAGCACAAUGUGACUGCUGCCUGGAUAACAACGAGAGAACCAAAGAAGAGACUCUGCAGUGUAAAUAACGCGCGGCUCUGCUGGGGACAGAUGGCAUGAUGCAGCAUAUCAGAGCAGUAAUCUGCAACCCCAUCAAACAUUUACAUCACCAUCCCACCCCCUUUACUGGGCAAGCAGGACAGACACAGCCCUGUGCUGCCUGCCCUGGGACAACACGCCUUGCUGGUCUCCUGUUACCAGUUACCUUCACAGAAACAUUAGGAACAGGACAUCCCUUCAUGUGUCACGCCCCGUACUGUCUGUCCUCUUGGAGACGCCAUGGAUCGACAUGAAAGGGAAGGGAAUGGAGAAUACAGUGACGACAUACCCAGGCCGAACCCGGACAACGCUGGGCCAAUUGUGCCCCGCCCUAUGGGACUCCCAAUCACGGCCGGAUGUGAUACAGCCUGGAUACGAAGCAGGGACUGUAGUGAAGCCUCCUGCACUGAGAUGCAGUGUCUUACAGUAUAUACAGCAUCUGCUCUACUUUGGAGAAGUGUAAUAUAUGCCAUUUAGCAGACACUUCUUUACAAAGCAACUUAUUCAUGCAUGAAUAUAUUUUACGUAUGCAUUUUAUGAAUACAUAUUUGAUGCCUCUGUUUAUGUGUUCCUCUUUCCCUUUGAAGCCCCACAAUACACAGGCAUAC